Molecule: ribosomal RNA, 466 nt
Filed under: uncultured bacterium
Lineage: Bacteria
Description: bacterial SSU rRNA
Rfam family: Bacterial small subunit ribosomal RNA
Source: RNAcentral
CUCAGAUUGAACGCUGGCGGCAGGCCUAACACAUGCAAGUCGAGCGGUAACAGAAAUUAGCUUGCUAAUUUGCUGACGAGCGGCGGACGGGUGAGUAAUGCCUGGGAAUAUGCCUUAGUGUGGGGGAUAACUAUUGGAAACGAUAGCUAAUACCGCAUAAUGUCUUCGGACCAAAGAGGGGGAUCUUCGGACCUCUCGCGCUAAGAUUAGCCCAGGUGAGAUUAGCUUGUUGGUGAGGUAAGAGCUCACCAAGGCGACGAUCUCUAGCUGGUCUGAGAGGAUGAUCAGCCACACUGGAACUGAGACACGGUCCAGACUCCUACGGGAGGCAGCAGUGGGGAAUAUUGCACAAUGGGCGAAAGCCUGAUGCAGCCAUGCCGCGUGUAUGAAGAAGGCCUUCGGGUUGUAAAGUACUUUCAGUCGUGAGGAAGGGUGUGUAGUUAAUAGCUGCACAUCUUGACGUUAU